This 507-nucleotide ribosomal RNA is filed under the name uncultured bacterium. RNAcentral describes it as "partial 16S ribosomal RNA". It matches the Rfam family "Bacterial small subunit ribosomal RNA", at positions 28 to 507 of the family's 1533-position model. The record is from RNAcentral.
GACGAACGCUGGCGGCGUGCCUAAUACAUGCAAGUCGAACGCAUUUUCUUUCACCGUAGCUUGCUACACCGAAAGAAAAUGAGUGGCGAACGGGUGAGUAACACGUGGGUAACCUGCCCAUCAGCGGGGGAUAACACUUGGAAACAGGUGCUAAUACCGCAUAAUUCCAUUUACUGCAUGGUAGAUGGAUGAAGGGCGCUUUUGCGUCACUGAUGGAUGGACCCGCGGUGCAUUAGCUAGUUGGUGGGGUAACGGCCUACCAAGGCUGCGAUGCAUAGCCGACCUGAGAGGGUGAUCGGCCACACUGGGACUGAGACACGGCCCAGACUCCUACGGGAGGCAGCAGUAGGGAAUCUUCGGCAAUAGACGCAAGUCUGACCGAGCAACGCCGCGUGAGUGAAGAAGGGUUUCGGAUCGUAAAACUCUGUUGUUAGAAAAGAACAAGGAUGAGAGUGGAAAGUUCAUCCCUUGACGGUAUCUAACCAGAAAGCCACGGCUAACUACGUG